Molecule: ribosomal RNA, 435 nt
Filed under: Triticum aestivum (bread wheat)
Lineage: Eukaryota; Viridiplantae; Streptophyta; Magnoliopsida; Poales; Poaceae
Description: partial small subunit ribosomal RNA
Source: RNAcentral
AUGGAGGAGAAGAGCGUGUAUGAUCAUGAUGAGGCCGGGCAUAUGGCUGCCGCUGUGCGGGACCACAAGAUCGUCAGCGAGAUCCGUGACCAUAUGCGGCUCCUUUCGUGCGAGAGGAAUUCUCCGGCAGCUAUGAGGACGACCAGAACAUGUCUGCCUAGAAGCAGCAGAGAGAUGAGUGAAAUGAGAUAUAUUUCCUACUAUCUGGGUAAUGAUCGGGAUCGGAACUUAUCAUCCGUUGGACAAGUGGUGGUGGAGGUAAAGGUCAUGAUCAGAACUUUGAGCGAGUUCAAGAUCACAUGGGUCCGAAGGACAGCAAAUGGUGUUGCCCAUUUGCUGGCGUGCUUAGGAAUAAGCAGUAGAGCAUCGGUCCUUUGGGACUCAGUUCCCCCUAUUGUAUUCUUAGCGUUGUAUCAGACGAAAUUCCUAAUUUAG